GUUAGGGCACGACACCGGAGAGGGAGCCUGAGAAACGGCUACCACAUCCAAGGAAGGCAGCAGGCGCGCAAAUUACCCAAUCCCGACACGGGGAGGUAGUGACAAUAAAUAACAAUACAGGGUUCUUUUGGAUCUUGUAAUUGGAAUGAGUACAAUUUAAAUCUCUUAACGAGGAACAAUUGGAGGGCAAGUCUGGUGCCAGCAGCCGCGGUAAUUCCAGCUCCAAUAGCGUAUAUUAAAGUUGUUGCAGUUAAAAAGCUCGUAGUUGAAUUUCGGGAUCAAUAUUUCGGUCAUGCCGUUGGUAUGCACUGUUAUCAUUGAUUUCUCACCUUCUAAAGAACCGUAAUGCCAUUAAUUUGGUGUUACGGGGAAUUAGGACUGUUACCUUGAAAAAAUUAGAGUGUUUAAAGCAGGCUCACGCUUGAAUACAUUAGCAUGGAAUAAUGAAAUAGGACAUCCGAUUCUAUUUUGUUGGUUUCUAGGAUCGAUGUAAUGAUUAAUAGGGAUAGUUGGGGGCAUUAGUAUUCAAUUGUCAGAGGUGAAAUUCUUGGAUUUAUUGAAGACUAACUACUGCGAAAGCAUUUGCCAAGGAUGUUUUCAUUAAUCAAGAACGAAAGUUAGGGGAUCGAAGACGAUCAGAUACCGUCGUAGUCUUAACCAUAAACUAUGCCGACUAGGGAUCGGAUGAUGUUAAUUUUUUAAUGACUCAUUCGGCGCCCUUACGGGAA
Molecule: ribosomal RNA, 728 nt
Filed under: Funneliformis mosseae
Lineage: Eukaryota; Fungi; Glomeromycota; Glomeromycetes; Glomerales; Glomeraceae
Description: SSU rRNA
Rfam family: Eukaryotic small subunit ribosomal RNA
Source: RNAcentral